This 211-nucleotide ribosomal RNA is filed under the name uncultured bacterium. RNAcentral describes it as "partial 16S ribosomal RNA". It matches the Rfam family "Bacterial small subunit ribosomal RNA", at positions 28 to 229 of the family's 1533-position model. The record is from RNAcentral.
GACGAACGCUGGCGGCGUGCCUAACACAUGCAAGUCGAGCGAGAACCAGACCUUCGGGUCGUGGGGACGAGCGGCGAACGGGUGAGUAACACGUGGGUAAUCAACCCUCGAUACUGGGAUAGCCCGGGGAAACCCGGAUUAAUACCGGAUGGCCCUUUCGGAUCCUCGGAUCUGAAGGAAAAGGUAGCUUCGGCCUCCGAUCGAGGACGAG